This 253-nucleotide ribosomal RNA is filed under the name uncultured bacterium. Its description in RNAcentral is "partial 16S ribosomal RNA". It matches the Rfam family "Bacterial small subunit ribosomal RNA", at positions 524 to 776 of the family's 1533-position model. The record is from RNAcentral.
UACGUAGGGACCAAGCGUUGUCCGGAAUCAUUGGGCGUAAAGAGCGUGUAGGCGGCUUGUUAAGUCUUGCGUGAAAUCUCGGGGCUCAACCCCGAGCGGUCGUGAGAAACUGGCAGGCUAGAGUGCGAGAGAGGAGAGUGGAAUUCCUGGUGUAGCGGUGAAAUGCGCAGAUAUCAGGAAGAACACCCGUGGCGAAGGCGGCUCUCUGGAACGCAACUGACGCUGAGACGCGAAAGCGUGGGGAGCAAACAGG